Molecule: ribosomal RNA, 491 nt
Filed under: uncultured bacterium
Lineage: Bacteria
Description: bacterial SSU rRNA
Rfam family: Bacterial small subunit ribosomal RNA
Source: RNAcentral
GAUGAACGCUGGCGGCGUGCUUAACACAUGCAAGUCGAACGGAGUUUACAUGUGAGCGGAGGGUGCUUGCAUCUAACAAUCUUUUGUAAACUUAGUGGCGGACGGGUGAGUAACGCGUGGGUAACCUGCCGUAUACAGGGGGACAACUGCCCGAAAGGGUGGCUAAUACCGCAUGUGGUGGUGCGUUCGAUCGCACCAGUAAAGCCGCAAGGCGCUUCGGGAGGGGCCUGCGUCCGAUUAGCUCGUUGGUGGGGUAACGGCUCACCAAGGCGACGAUCGGUAGGUGGUCUGAGAGGACGAUCACCCAGACUGGGACUGAGACACGGCCCAGACUCCUACGGGAGGCAGCAGUCGGGAAUUUUGCGCAAUGGACGAAAGUCUGACGCAGCAACGCCGCGUGAGGGAUGACGGCCUUCGGGUUGUAACCUACUUUGUUCUAGGACGGAUUAUGACGGUACCUGACGAUAAGCCACGGCUAACUACGUGCCAGC